AUACGGAGGGAGCAAGCGUUAUUCGGAAUCACUGGGCGUAAAGGACGCGUAGGCGGGUUUGUAAGUCAGGUGUGAAAUCCUACAGCUCAACUGUAGAGCUGCACUUGAAACUACGGACCUAGAGUAUGGAAGGGGCAGAUGGAAUUAGUGGUGUAGGGGUAAAAUCCGUAGAUAUCACUAGGAAUACCGAAAGCGAAGGCGAUCUGCUGGGACAUUACUGACGCUGAGGCGUGAAAGCGUGGGGAGCAAACAGGAUUAGAAACCCCAGUAGUCC
This 274-nucleotide ribosomal RNA is filed under the name uncultured bacterium. RNAcentral describes it as "partial 16S ribosomal RNA". It matches the Rfam family "Bacterial small subunit ribosomal RNA", at positions 523 to 796 of the family's 1533-position model. The record is from RNAcentral.